CCUCCCUCCUUUCUUCCCUUCCCUCCAACCCCAAUCUCUCAAAAAACUUGAGAUAAGGAAAUUGAUUUUAAAAAAAAUCACCAUUAUCUUGAAAUAGGAAUAAGACAAGAUAUCUCUAUCAACAAUAUAUUUUAAAACAUUUUUGGAACUUCUGGCCAAUUUAAACUUUCAUAAAGUGAGAGUUGACGAAAGGCACCUUGGCUAUUGAAAAGAAAAAGAAGCGUCAGUGGCUUUAGAUCCUAUCUAGAACACAUAGCUGGAAAAUAAGAAUUGGAAUGUGUGACAGAUAUUGUAUGGCAGCCAAUGCUUGGGGCCCCGUAUGGCUCAGCUUCACCACAGAGCGGUGCUGAGAGGGAUGUGUGACUCCAGAAUCCUCGAUGUGGAUGGUCUUAAGAUAGCUUGUCAUGGCCAGAGCAUCCACUCAACCCUCCCACACAUGAAGCGGCCAAGAAUUUCUGCCUGGACGGUUUCCUCUUCACAAAGUCACGUGCUCGCAGGGGCUCCGCUGCACGUGUCUGCUCUGUUGCUAUGGUUCUGCAUCGCUGAUGUCUGGUCUCUCACAUGUACCCUGAGGACUAACUGCUCUGCGUCGGGCACCCCUGUGACUCCUGCAGUGAGGAAGGACCAGGUUCAUGAGACCAUAGCCUGGCUUUCUCUUGGCUGAUUUUGUUAUUAAUAAUCUCUUUUCUCCUCUUCCUCCUCCUUCUCUCAUUCUUUUUCUCUUCUUCUUCUUACCUGUUUACUUUCUUUUUUCUUUCCUUCCCUCUCCUCUCUUCUUCUUUCCAGGGUCUUGUGGUAGCCCAGGCUAACCCUGACAUUCUGUUACUGCUGGGGUAACAUACACUGCCAUGCCUAGUUUUAUGGGGGAGAUUGAGCCCAGAGCUUAGUAUGUGCUAGGCAAACACUUUACCAUUCAAACUAUGUCCCCAGCACCUUAUGACUAAUCAUUAGGGACAUUAGCAAAUAUCCCCCCUUACGAAGUUAGUGUGUAAAAACUGAGAAUUUUCCUACAUACCCACACCAAUCAGACUGGAGAUAAAAGCAAGGAAAACUGGGACCCACCCCCAGGGGACUCUUGUCUCUCAUGAGGACUGUAUGGGACUUUCACGAAGAAAACCACAAAACUGCAUCAUUUUGUAUAAAAAACGGUUUGAAUACAUGCAGAGGCACAACAUGCUCUUAGCUGGGGGGAAAGGACUCUGAAUUAAUAUGGAGAUCUAGAAAAGGAAUCAAAUUAAAUAUCAAUGGAAACUUUUGGUCACUCAACAAACAACUCUCUAAUGUGUAUCUGCAAGAGAAACAGGCUAAAAAUAGUCAAGAGAUUUCUGAAAGAGCAUGGAGAUAGGGGUUCCUCUAACAGACAUUACAGUGUAUUUUACAGCUACAAAACUCAUGGUUGGAGCUCAAGAUGCAAGAAGCAUUAGGAGUUGAUGAGAUAUCACUGGGUUUAAAAGCCUAGUCUUCCUCAGGCUGAGAACCUAACACAGAUAAAGAGGAAGAUUUCACAUCAAGAGGAAGGGCUGGAUUAAACGGUGCUGAGAUUUUGACUACUUGUGAGAUUAUUGGCACAGAUCCUUGUCUCUAAUUCCAGACAGACUUCAGCAUCAAGCACAAGGAAUCCAUUAGCAAUAGCUAAAAACAGCAGGCGGCGAAGUGAUCUUAGACAUCCCGGGGCACAGGUAAAAUUCAACAUCGUCCAUUCUGCCGCUGGAUUUGACUUGAGCCUACAGAACAUACAGACUGGAUCCAACAUCUUUCUGGGAGCUUCUCCAGAGGAAAAUCCCUCGGCUGCUGCCACUGUCUUCUCAAGAGGCUGGGCAUGUCUGCAGACUCUCUGCACACUUCUUGCCAGAAAUUCAGCUCCAGAUGGGCGAGGGGACUUCCUCGGGUCUUCUGGAGUGUGUGACCUCUCACAAUGGGCAAGGGGAGUUCCUUGGGUCUUCUAAGUGUGUGACCUCUCACAAUGAGCGAGGGGACUUCCUCGGGUCUUCUGGAGUGUGUGAUCUCUCCCAGUGGGUGUGGGGAGUUCCUUGGGUCUUCUGAGUGUGUGGCCUCACAAGGGUGCUGGGAUCGGGAGGCACAUUAUAAUAGAAUCACACUUGGACCCUGGAGGCUGGAGAAGACGGCUCAGUGGAUUAGAGUUCUUGCUGUGCAAUCAUCAGGACCGGGUUUGAGUCCCCAGUUCCCAUGUGAAUAAAGAAGGUGGGCGUGUUA
Molecule: long non-coding RNA, 2214 nt
Organism: Peromyscus eremicus (cactus mouse)
Lineage: Eukaryota; Metazoa; Chordata; Mammalia; Rodentia; Cricetidae
Exons: 3
Source: RefSeq, a predicted model, not a curated record